AUUGAACGCUGGCGGCAGGCCUAACACAUGCAAGUCGAGCGGAUGAAGGGAGCUUGCUCCUGGAUUCAGCGGCGGACGGGUGAGUAAUGCCUAGGAAUCUGCCUGGUAGUGGGGGAUAACGUCCGGAAACGGGCGCUAAUACCGCAUACGUCCUGAGGGAGAAAGUGGGGGAUCUUCGGACCUCACGCUAUCAGAUGAGCCUAGGUCGGAUUAGCUAGUUGGUGGGGUAAAGGCCUACCAAGGCGACGAUCCGUAACUGGUCUGAGAGGAUGAUCAGUCACACUGGAACUGAGACACGGUCCAGACUCCUACGGGAGGCAGCAGUGGGGAAUAUUGGACAGUGGGCGAAAGCCUGAUCCAGCCAUGCCGCGUGUGUGAAGAAGGUCUUCGGAUUGUAUAGCACUUUAAGUUGGGAGGAAGGGCAGUAAGUUAAUACCUUGCUGUUUUGACGUUACCAACAGAAUAAGCACCGGCUAACUUCGUG
RNAcentral lists this ribosomal RNA (484 nucleotides) under uncultured bacterium. RNAcentral's name for it is "partial 16S ribosomal RNA". It matches the Rfam family "Bacterial small subunit ribosomal RNA", at positions 30 to 507 of the family's 1533-position model. The record is from RNAcentral.